This 243-nucleotide ribosomal RNA is filed under the name uncultured bacterium. RNAcentral describes it as "partial 16S ribosomal RNA". It matches the Rfam family "Bacterial small subunit ribosomal RNA", at positions 104 to 334 of the family's 1533-position model. The record is from RNAcentral.
CGGGCGGGACGGGGUGGAGGUAACGCGUGGGUAACCUGCCUCAUACAGGGGGAUAACAGUUAGAAAUGACUGCUAAUACCGCAUAAGACCACGGUACCGCAUGGUACAGUGGUAAAAACUCCGGUGGUAUGAGAUGGACCCGCGUCUGAUUAGGUAGUUGGUGGGGUAACGGCCUACCAAGCCGACGAUCAGUAGCCGACCUGAGAGGGUGACCGGCCACAUUGGGACUGAGACACGGCCCAG